This 415-nucleotide ribosomal RNA is filed under the name uncultured bacterium. RNAcentral's name for it is "bacterial SSU rRNA". It matches the Rfam family "Bacterial small subunit ribosomal RNA", at positions 32 to 424 of the family's 1533-position model. The record is from RNAcentral.
AAUCAACGCUGGCGGCGUGCCUCAGACAUGCAAGUCGAACGCGAAAGGUUCCUUCGGGAGCCGAGUAGAGUGGCGCUCGGGUGAGUAACACGUAGGUAAUUUGCCUUUGGGUGGGGAAUAACAAUCGGAAACGGUUGCUAAUACCGCAUAAUGCAGCGGCUCGACAUCGAGACAGUUGUUAAAAGCGGGGGAUCCUUCGGGACCUCGCGCCUAAAGAGAAGCCUGCGGCGGAUUAGCAGUUGGUGAGGUAAUGGCUCACCAAGGCGACGAUCCGUAACCGGCCUGAGAGGGCGGACGGUCACACUGACACUUAAAUACGGGUCAGACUCCUACGGGAGGCAGCAGUCGGGAAUUUUGGGCAAUGGGCGAAAGCCUGACCCAGCAACGCCGCGUGAAGGAUGAAAUCCCUCGGGAU